GGACGGGUGAGUAAUACAUAAGUAACCUGCCCUAGACAGGGGGAUAACUAUUGGAAACGAUAGCUAAGACCGCAUAGGUACGGACACUGCAUGGUGACCGUAUUAAAAGUGCCUCAAAGCACUGGUAGAGGAUGGACUUAUGGCGCAUUAGCUGGUUGGCGGGGUAACGGCCCACCAAGGCGACGAUGCGUAGCCGACCUGAGAGGGUGACCGGCCACACUGGGACUGAGACACGGCCCAGACUCCUACGGGAGGCAGCAUG
This 262-nucleotide ribosomal RNA is filed under the name uncultured bacterium. RNAcentral describes it as "partial 16S ribosomal RNA". It matches the Rfam family "Bacterial small subunit ribosomal RNA", at positions 100 to 353 of the family's 1533-position model. The record is from RNAcentral.